GGCCCCGUAGCUCAGCUGGAUAGAGCAACUGCCUUCUAAGCAGUAGGUCGCAGGUUCGAGCCCUGCCGGGGUCGCCA
Molecule: transfer RNA, 77 nt
Filed under: Sphingomonas sp.
Lineage: Bacteria; Pseudomonadati; Pseudomonadota; Alphaproteobacteria; Sphingomonadales; Sphingomonadaceae
Also listed under: 15 other names
Description: tRNA-Arg
Rfam family: tRNA
About the family: Transfer RNA (tRNA) molecules are approximately 80 nucleotides in length.
Source: RNAcentral